Cyprinodon tularosa is the source of this 978-nucleotide RNA transcript. RefSeq lists it as uncharacterized. NCBI's taxonomy places the organism in Eukaryota, Metazoa, Chordata, Actinopteri, Cyprinodontiformes, Cyprinodontidae. The record is from RefSeq and is a predicted model, not a curated record. The transcript has 5 exons.
GGGGGGGUACCCUCUCCCCAGCCAGCCUUUGCCAGGUUCACCUCAAAUCCAUCCACCACUACAAUGUCCCCUGAGGAGCCCAUGCAGAUUGGGCGUGCCCGUCUGUCAGCUGAAGAAAGACAGCGUCGUAUGGACUCACGGGCGUGCCUAUAUUGUGGCCAGGUUGGUCAUUACAUUGCCCUUUGUCCAGAGAGGCCAAAAGGGGGAGCCCACCAGUAGUUACGGGAAUACUGGUGGGUGGGCUCAACCAAACUGCUUCCCGUUUCAUCCUUCCAAGCUCUCUGCUUCUUAAUCAAGAAUCAUUUCAGUUCACGUCUCGGCUUUGGACGUCCCCAGUGGUCCUUGGCCAUCCUUGGCUCUCAUUACAUAAUCCACAUCUGAACUGGAGAGAGGGUAGAGUUGAGUCCUGGAGCCUCCAUUGUCUCUCAAGCUGCCUCCGUUCUGCCCAUGUUUUUCUCCUUUUGAGGUGUCGCUGGGUUACCAGCCCCCCCUUUUUCCAUCAGAAGAAGGGCAGACAUCCAUUACUUCAGUUCAACAUCAUCUUCGACGCUGCAAGCGUAUUUGGGAACAGACUCGGAGAGCCCUGCAUCGAACCGCUGAACAGAAUCGGCGCUAUGCUGACCGGAAACGAGCUCCUGCCCCUGCCUACCGCCCUGGAGACAAGCACUGCAGGUGGGCGUGGCUGGCUGUCCGAGCACCUGAGACCAAUCAACCCAUCCACCUGAGAGGGAUUUAAGGAGCUGCAGCCAUCUCUUCCACGCCUGAUGGUCCCCAUAUUCUGGUUUUAAUCGAAGCGCUCCUGGACGGAUCCCUUCUGCGUCUAACUCAGCGUGCUGAUCCUAUCUGCAGCUUAGUUUCUGUCAGCCUGCCCGCUCUCCACCGCUCCAGUGAAAACUCUCUGACGAUCGCCUCAGUCUGACUGCCCGCUCUUCACCACCUCUGUGACAGCUCCGUGAUCAACGUCUCCUCCCUCAGCGC